Molecule: ribosomal RNA, 776 nt
Filed under: uncultured eukaryote
Lineage: Eukaryota
Description: SSU rRNA
Rfam family: Eukaryotic small subunit ribosomal RNA
Source: RNAcentral
GGUAGUUUCUUGACCGUAAACGAUGUCGACUGGCGAUUGGGCGCACUUCUGCCGAAGUUGCGCCAGCAGUAUCGCCCGGGAAACCAAAGUGAUGGACUCCGGGGGGGAGUAUGGUUGCAAAGCUGAAACUUAAAGGAAUUGACGGAAGGGCACCACCAGGAGUGGAGCCUGCGGCUUAAUUUGACUCAACACGGGAAACCUCACCCGGCCCGAACACUGUGAUGACAGACAGGUUGAGAGCUCUUUCUCGAUUCAGUGGUUGGUGGUGCAUGGCCGUUCUUAGUUCGUGGAGCGAUCUGUCUGGUUAAUUCCGAUAACGAACGAGACUCUUGCCUGCUAAAUACGCCGGCGUCGACUCAGGUCGGCGACCGCACGCUUCUUAGAGGGACAAGCGGCUUUUAGUCGCGCGAAGCGGAGAGCAAUAACAGGUCAGUGAUGCCCUCAGAUGUUCGGGGCCGCACGCGCGCUACACUGCUUGCAUCAGCGUGUGUCACCCUCGCCGGCUGGCGUGGGCAAUCCGUUGAACCGCAAGCGUGCUAGGGAUCGGGGAUUGCAAUUAUUCUCCGUCAGCGAGGAAUUCCUUGUACUUGCGAGUCAUCAGCUCGCGGGGAAUCUGUCCCUGCCCUUUGUACACACCGCCCGUCGCUACUACCGAUUGAGUGGUUUAGUGAGGCCCACGGACUGCGCGCGGCACCCGGCGCUUCGGCGUCGCGUCGCGAGCGGAAAGUGAGACGAACUUGAUCACUUCUAGGAAGUAAAAGUCGUACAAGGUUUUC